RNAcentral lists this ribosomal RNA (496 nucleotides) under uncultured bacterium. Its description in RNAcentral is "partial 16S ribosomal RNA". It matches the Rfam family "Bacterial small subunit ribosomal RNA", at positions 29 to 507 of the family's 1533-position model. The record is from RNAcentral.
AUGAACGCUCGCGGCGUGCCUAAUACAUGCAAGUCGAGCGAACGGACGAGAAGCUUGCUUCUCUGAUGUUAGCGGCGGACGGGUGAGUAACACGUGGAUAACCUACCUAUAAGACUGGGAUAACUUCGGGAAACCGUAGCUAAUACCGGAUAAUAUUUUGAACCGCAUGGUUCAAAAGUGAAAGACGGUCUUGCUGUCACUUAUAGAUGGAUCCGCGCUACAUUAGCUAGUUGGUAAGGUAACGGCUUACCAAGGCAACGAUGCAUAGCCGACCUGAGAGGGUGAUCGGCCACACUGGAACUGGGACACGGUCCAGACUCCUACGGGAGGCAGCAGUAGGGAAUCUUCCGCAAAGGGCGAAAGCCUGACGGAGCAACGCCGCGUGAGUGAUGAAGGUCUUCGGAUCGUAAAACUCUGUUAUUAGGGAAGAACAUAUGUGUAAGUAACUGUGCACAUCUUGACGGUACCUAAUCAGAAAGCCACGGCUAACUACGUG